RNAcentral lists this ribosomal RNA (253 nucleotides) under uncultured bacterium. RNAcentral describes it as "partial 16S ribosomal RNA". It matches the Rfam family "Bacterial small subunit ribosomal RNA", at positions 524 to 776 of the family's 1533-position model. The record is from RNAcentral.
UACAGAGGUCUCAAGCGUUGUUCGGAUUCAUUGGGCGUAAAGGGUGCGUAGGCGGCGCGGUAAGUCGGGUGUGAAAUCUCGGAGCUUAACUCCGAAACUGCAUUCGAUACUGCCGUGCUUGAGGACUGGAGAGGAGACUGGAAUUUACGGUGUAGCGGUGAAAUGCGUAGAUAUCUGGAGGAACACCGGUGGCGAAAGCGGCUCACUGGAUCGAAACUGACGCUGAGGUGCGAAAGCUAGGGUAGCAAACGGG